UCCAGACUCCUACGGGAGGCAGCAGUGGGGAAUAUUGGACAAUGGGGGGAACCCUGAUCCAGCGACGCCGCGUGAGUGAAGAAGUAUUUCGGUAUGUAAAGCUCUAUCAGCAGGGAAGAAAAUGACGGUACCUGACUAAGAAGCUCCGGCUAAAUACGUGCCAGCAGCCGCGGUAAUACGUAUGGAGCAAGCGUUAUCCGGAUUUACUGGGUGUAAAGGGAGCGCAGGCGGCUUUGCAAGUCUGAUGUGAAAGGCCGGGGCUCAACCCCGGGACUGCAUUGGAAACUGUAAAGCUAGAGUGCCGGAGGGGUAAGCGGAAUUCCUAGUGUAGCGGUGAAAUGCGUAGAUAUUAGGGGGAACACCAGUGGCGAAGGCGGCUUACUGGACGGCAACUGACGCUGAGGCUCGAAAGCGUGGGGAGCAAACAGGAUUAGAUACCCGGGUAC
RNAcentral lists this ribosomal RNA (446 nucleotides) under uncultured bacterium. Its description in RNAcentral is "bacterial SSU rRNA". It matches the Rfam family "Bacterial small subunit ribosomal RNA", at positions 330 to 793 of the family's 1533-position model. The record is from RNAcentral.